This is a long non-coding RNA of Gavialis gangeticus (Gharial), 843 nucleotides long. RefSeq lists it as uncharacterized. The record is from RefSeq and is a predicted model, not a curated record. The transcript is spliced from 4 exons. Lineage: Eukaryota; Metazoa; Chordata; Crocodylia; Gavialidae.
UGUACAGGGGUGCUUCCUUGUCUCUAGGUUGGCAAAUGUCUCUACCCCUACUGCCCAGUGCCGAAGUGGAGAUCCAGCGCACUACCUGCCAAUGAAAAACAGUCCCUUUUUUUACAUUCCCACCCCCUGCGAUGGGUGAGGCACUGCUGCUUAAGGGCAUUUGGGAAUUGAAUCCAGCUAGCAAACUCUAGUCCCACAAAUAUAAUGUGACUAGGCCUGCACUGAGUAUGACCAGAGGUCUACUGAAAUUGUUUCAUAGUCUCCCAGAGCUUGGAAGAGUACAAAAACAAUCUUAAGUGGGGGUUUCUAUAAUGCCUGGACCUGUUCUGGCUCCUACAACAGUGAUAUAAAUGCUUGCAAUGCCUGCCCAUACUGUGAAUAUAUCUGACUUCUGGCACUGCCUUGGCACAACCAGGACUUAUUGGAUUCCCUGAUGCUAGACAGCUAAGUGCAUCCAUGAUAUGAUGAUAAAUCAGGAAGACUACAUGAUUUGAAAUUUAACAGCUACUUAUUUUUGAGACAUUGAGAUAAAGGAAAAAAUACUUUUGAUUUCUGCAAGUAACUAUUAAAUUGGGAAUCUCCUAUUCUGGUAAUCUGAUACUCUGUUACUGUGUCAUAUCAUCAAACAAUGCCAACAACCAGCGGUGGGCAAAAUAGAUUUUGGACUAAGAUGAAUAAGGGAGCCACUUAUCUGUCUUUUUUUCUUUUCCAAUAUUCACAGUUUUAUCUGAAGAGCACCAUAUAAAGGUUACUGUUGUCAUAAAAAUGUACUGUUCUUAUUACAUUUUCCUUUUUACAUGAAUAUAUUUUUAAAUGGAGAUAAAAAUAUGUUUUUGUUGCUAC